RNAcentral lists this ribosomal RNA (353 nucleotides) under Eudorylas sp. CNC Diptera 21229. RNAcentral describes it as "partial 12S ribosomal RNA". The record is from RNAcentral. Lineage: Eukaryota; Metazoa; Arthropoda; Insecta; Diptera; Pipunculidae.
UAAAAAUUUAAUUAAAAAUAUUUAAGUAGUAUUAGUUAAGAUCUUUAAAUUUAAAAAAUUUGGCGGUAUUUUAGUCUAUUCAGAGGAACCUGUUUUGUAAUCGAUAAUCCACGAUGUAUCUUACUUAAAUUUGUUUAGUUUAUAUAUCGUCGUUAAGAGAAUAUUUUAUAAGAAUAAUAAUUUUCAAAAUUUUUAAUUUUAAAGUAUAUCAGAUCAAGAUGUAGCUUAUGUUUAAGUUUAUAAUGGGUUACAAUUAAUCUAUUAUUGGAAAUUAGUUUGUAAUUAAUUUUUUGAAAAUGGAUUUGAUAGUAAAUUUAUAAAGAUUAAUAAAUUGAUUAUAGCUCUAAAAUAUG